GACGAACGCUGGCGGCGUGCCUAAUACAUGCAAGUUGAGCGCUGAAGGUUGGUACUUGUACCAACUGGAUGAGCAGCGAACGGGUGAGUAACGCGUGGGGAAUCUGCCUUUGAGCGGGGGACAACAUUUGGAAACGAAUGCUAAUACCGCAUAAAAACUUUAAACACAAGUUUUAAGUUUGAAAGAUGCAAUUGCAUCACUCAAAGAUGAUCCCGCGUUGUAUUAGCUAGUUGUGAGGUAAAGGCUCACCAAGGCGAUGAUACAUAGCCGACCUGAGAGGGUGAUCGGCCACAUUGGGACUGAGACACGGCCCAAACUCCUACGGGAGGCAGCAGUAGGGAAUCUUCGGCAAUGGACGAAAGUCUGACCGAGCAACGCCGCGUGAGUGAAGAAGGGUUUCGGAUCGUAAAACUCUGUUGGUAGAGAAGAACGUUGGUGAGAGUGGAAAGCUCAUCAAGUGACGGUAACUACCCAGAAAGGGACGGCUAACUACGUG
This 496-nucleotide ribosomal RNA is filed under the name uncultured bacterium. RNAcentral's name for it is "partial 16S ribosomal RNA". It matches the Rfam family "Bacterial small subunit ribosomal RNA", at positions 28 to 507 of the family's 1533-position model. The record is from RNAcentral.